This is a long non-coding RNA of Falco tinnunculus (common kestrel), 4634 nucleotides long. Lineage: Eukaryota; Metazoa; Chordata; Aves; Falconiformes; Falconidae. The record is from Ensembl.
AUGUACCCCAGUGGAGCAUGGCUUACUCAAGCAAGAACCAUCAGUUGCACGCUGCAGGUCAUGGCCAUAAAAGAGUGGCUCCCUGUCGCAAGGCAAGGACCUGCAUUCUCUGGCUGCGCUGCUGCCUGGACCCCUGCUCCGCUAACAGAAAGCAUGUAUGGACAGGACAGGGCUAGGCUGGCAUCUCAGCAGCACAUCCUCUUGGCUGGUGGCAAUUCAGCAUGCCUUGCUGAAGACAGAUGUUUCAAUGCAGGUAGGUCUGACACGACAUUUCUCAUCACUGGUUUUACCAUCAGUGAGCAAGGGAGACGUAUGACAGUUCUGCCUGGGUUUGGGCAAAGAUGCCCUCAGGACAACCCAAGGUGCAGACGUCACCUGAUUUUCUCCAGAUAAAUGCCAGCCUUAGAGGAGCUGUGGCACACACCUCUGCUAUGAAUAACAGCUCUGCACUUGCAGUUUCUGAAUCUCUUAAAAAAUUCAUUCAACAUGCCCAGAGGUUUUGCAUUUAUGGUUUUUUUUUAAUAUAUAUAUACACAUAUACUUCUCCUGGAACAACUGCAGAGUUAAUUUGCUUGGAGAUGUGCUGUACGUUGGCAGUAACAUUUUUUUUUUGUUUGUUUACAAGCCUCUGAACUAGGAAACCUAACGCUGACAGUACUGAGUUAGACCCAUGAAUCCACUUCUCAAGAUUUACUUUACAUCGCUGGCAAAGAAGUAAGUGUUUUUUCAACAACUUUCCUUCCACCUGUUUGUCAGCUCUGUUCCUUGCACCGAUCCGUCUAAACUGUGUACACUGCUGAAACUGUCCUUCCUGGGCUGAAACAGUCCUAGGGUUUGCUGGGCACAUGGUUUAAUGGUAGAGGAUGGUAUUUAUAAGAUCUCUGAAUGACUCUUCAGCCAAGCAGGUAAUGGGCAAUUCCUCAUAGCCUAGAUCUUUCCAGCUCCCAUGGAUACCCUUGGGGUAGAUUUUGCCCUUCUUAGGUUAUUUACAGUGUCGUUCCCUGCCAAGGACACUUCAAGUUAUAGUCACUUCCUCCAGUGGUCAUGUCACCUGAUGUGUAUUUAUUCAUCACUACCUGAGUAGUUUCCAUCCGCUGCUAUGCUGUGAAGUGCUCUGAGGACAUGGCAGUGUCUGCAGUUCACAAAGCCAUACGUGCAGGGGUGCUCUCAUCACGUGCAGGUCUGGAAGGAAGAAAACACGAAAAGACCAGUUACAACAAAAAGGUUAAGCUGUUAUGUCUGUGGUCCAAAAGAGUGGUGAGCUGAGCUCAUUUCACCAAGUCUCUUGCUAAUCUGGUGCUCUCAAGGGUGUGAAAUAUUAUCAGCUGUUAGAGUUAUUAACCAGUGUUAACCAGGUAGUGCAUGCACUGAGCUGUGUUUAAGGUUAACUGUGCCAUUAAGGGCUUACAAACUCAAUUAAAGAUUUUAGUGCUCAACAGUUAAUGGUUAAUUUCUGCAGAUGUCCUGUUUCCAAUUACUAUUCAUAUAUAAUGCAAGCAGCAUGGCAUCACACUUCAGCUCAGACACGCAGAUUUUUUUUUUAAUAUAUUUUAUACCAGCAGAAGGUUUCACUUAAUUGCAUAAUACCCGAUAUUUAGUAUUUCUGGAGUGUCUUUGAAAUCUCUGUUAAAUUCCAAGUAUUUUCACCUUUCUUUUUCUAUUAUUAUCACCAGUCCCUGCCUCACUUUUGCUCAUCUGACCCCGUGAGGGUAUGGAGGUGUUCUUUGCAUUGUGCCAUGACCCCGCUGCCCGGCGGGGAGAAAGGCACGCUGAGAAAUGGCCCUCCUGGACUGGGCAGCCACAGGGAGAGACCCAGAGAUUUUCUUUUUUCUCUUUCAUUGGAAAUGACUCGGGAAGCUCACAGUCCCCAAAGUAUAUUGAGGAGCUCAAAUGGAGAUUUAAAAGCCUACAUCUGAGCCCGCUGAGUUUGGAAAUUUUUAAGUAACAAAAACCUUCUUGUGAGACCAACUCUGAUAAGGGAGCGUUUGACUAAAUCUGCAGAUGGAGUUAACUGGAAAGUUCUGAGUCCUGAAGUUACACCCAGGUGGAAGGAAACCUGCUACUGUCAGUAAAAAGAAAGAGUGUAUAAAUCAGCUCUCAACUAAUGAGACAAAUAAAUUCAUAACUGGAAUCACCCAUUAGGAAAAAAUCAAUUCCUUUCUAUACACGCAAUUGUGAUAUUCCUCCUGAGAAAUACUCUCAGUUCAACGAAGAACAUGAACGUAUACCUAACUCUGCACAUGGGAGUAAAUCUAUGCUUAUCAUUAAAUUUAAGUUAAGAAUAUAAUGAAAUUGAAAUUAAAUAUGAAAUGCCUUGGGAAUUACUCAUGAACUUGAAAUUCAGUCAUUUAAAAGCGAUGUUGAACUGGGGCCUCUGGGACGAAAGGACCCAGGGAGAUGCACACCACGCUAUGCUUACAAAACCCUGUGAGAUGGUUUUACAAGCACUUUCAGCCAUCUGAUGAUUGCACUGUUAUUAAAACGGCAUGUCCUGCCUCUUUCCCCUGCCAUGCUUCUCCAGUACAGCAACCAGCCACGUGGUUUGGCCAACUGCAUCAGCAAACUGAUCUGGAUAAAAAACAACCCUACAAAAAACCCAGUCAUUUUCAGAUGGGUGUGUUCUCUGAUUCAUCUAACUGUGUGGCCACAUGACUGCAGGUGCUGGUCCGCAAGACAGAGGGGUAAGGGGAUGGGGUGAUCCCACCUCUUCUGGUGGCUGCUGCAGAGUUUUCAGCCGGUCAAGCUGACAAGGAAAUUUCAUGGCUAUAAAGUUUGUGUCAUUUUAGAAGUCUUUGAAGUCACUUUGGAUCUGUUCCAUUGCAUGUGAAAUUGUGGCUCUUUGAGUCAUUCUUUCAGGUAGAGGAAGUUUUUGGAGGAUAUAUAAGGAGGUAUUGUUCUUGGAGAGUCACAGAGGUGCAGCAUCAGUGCCUCCUAUGGCUAUACAGGCUAUAGUUAGUCUCUUCAGAAAAAGUGUGAGCCACUCAACGGUAGAGAUCUACAUUUUCCUAAAAGAAACAGCAACACAAGUCAUUCACCUCAGUGGCGUUAAGUGUGCUUGGCCAUUGCAAACUGGGAAAGACCUGAACAAGAGAUUAACAGAAGAGAGAUACAACUUCAGCUAUUAAAUACAAAAGAGGCAAAGCUAAGUUCAUAUGUUGGCAUAUCUAAAAAUUACCACGGAUAGAGAUAACAGAUGGUUGCAGCUUAGAAUUCAUGUAGAAGUCUCUGAAGUUUUGGGGUGAAAUCCACCCUUCUCAGGUGUGCAGAGGUUCUACAGCGUGGCUAGAGCUACUAUGGGCAGAAGUGUCCACUCUGCUGGUUGUCCAGAAGCUGUGGAAGAAACUCCAGCAAGAUGUAGGACCCAUGCUAAUGCUCAGUGCUUCUUGCCUCAAAUGUUAGGGGCGCUUUUUAACCUUCUCAUCUCCCACAGAAAUACAGGCUAUUGGGCACCUCUAAAUUUUCCCCAUCAAGUCCCCAAAGGGGAGAGACCAGCUCACACAAGCUUGUACAUGGAAAGCAGGUGAGAGAAAAGGAAUGAAGCAUGUAUGACAGAUAUUCAUCACAUCCUUCAAGGCAUCACUGAAUGAGGUCCACAACAGGCAAUGUGAGUAUGAGCAGUGUUGAACAGAUCAAAAAAAGUAGCAUUUAUCCAUCAAAAGACAAAGUGUGGCUGGCUUUUUCCUUCAUUUAAGCUAGUGAAAAUGAAGAAACAGACAAUCCUGCUUAAGGACCUGUUUCCACUUAGUGCUGAGCACCUCACCGAAGACAUCUAUUUUUAUCAGGCAUUUAUUUUACAAUAUCAGUGGCACCUCUAACCAAGACCAGGCCACCAGAGCAGAGAAUAUCCUCAGCUCCCUACAAAGAGAUGAAAUCAACUGACAAGUUGAAAGGGUUUCUCAGACCUCAUAGGACUUUUCUUUUUUUUUUUCUUUUCCUCUCAGUGGAAACUCAGAAAAGCAUUCGAGUGGAUGGUAAAGUGUCUCACAAAUAUCUUGUAUAAUUUGGCAACCACCAUGUUCCACAUCUAAUUUCAUUACAGCACAUUGAAUGUUUUGGAGGUUUUUUACAAUGGUUUUUGCACCUUUAACAACAUGUUGAUUAUUGCGUUUUGAAAUAACUCACUUCUUUAAGAAUAACUUAAGUGAAAAUUUCAUUUAGAAUUGCAACACCUGGAGAAAAUCAACAUCAUGUGACUUGUAGGCACUUCUAAACAGGAAAUACUCCAUUUAUUUUUUUAGCUGUGUUUGUGUAAUAAAGUCUAGCAUCCAAGUGUGAGCAACACAUUUUCUUGUUUUAUUAAACAGCAUGAAAGGAUUUAUUACUUCUCCACUGAAUGCACUUCUGGCACCAAAUGGAGCUGGACAAUAAUUGUCAGGCACUGAGUUUAACAUUAUGAGAAAACACCUUUGGUGGAGUUCAGAGUUUAUUGUAUAAUGAAAAAUACACCUAGAUGGUGAGGCUUCCUUUGAGAAUUUGCUUGGUGAGUGUAAUCUCAGGUACUGCUGCUUAAUAAAUUGGAUUCUUUGAAAUAGAAAUUAAAGUACUGAAACAGUAUCUAAGAAGGUUAUUUUUCUUUUCCUCCUUCAGUUAUGUGAAGUUCCUUGAGAAGGAAAAUAAAAAUAGAGGGAAUGGAG